UGAGGAAUAUUGGUCAAUGGACGAGAGUCUGAACCAGCCAAGUAGCGUGAAGGAUGACUGCCCUAUGGGUUGUAAACUUCUUUUAUAUGGGAAUAAAGUAUUCCACGUGUGGGAUUUUGUAUGUACCAUAUGAAUAAGGAUCGGCUAACUCCGUGCCAGCAGCCGCGGUAAUACGGAGGAUCCGAGCGUUAUCCGGAUUUAUUGGGUUUAAAGGGAGCGUAGGUGGAUUGUUAAGUCAGUUGUGAAAGUUUGCGGCUCAACCGUAAAAUUGCAGUUGAAACUGGCAGUCUUGAGUACAGUAGAGGUGGGCGGAAUUCGUGGUGUAGCGGUGAAAUGCUUAGAUAUCACGAAGAACUCCGAUUGCGAAGGCAGCUCACUAGACUGCAACUGACACUGAUGCUCGAAAGUGUGGGUAUCAAACAGGAUUAGAUACCCUGGUAGUCCACACAGUAAACGAUGAAUACUCGCUGUUUGCGAUAUACAGUAAGCGGCCAAGCGAAAGCAUUAAGUAUUCCACCUGGGGAGUACGCCGGCAACGGUGAAACUCAAAGGAAUUGACGGGGGCCCGCACAAGCGGAGGAACAUGUGGUUUAAUUCGAUGAUACGCGAGGAACCUUACCCGGGCUUAAAUUGCAUUUGAAUAAUCUGGAAACAGGUUAGCCGCAAGGCAAAUGUGAAGGUGCUGCAUGGUUGUCGUCAGCUCGUGCCGUGAGGUGUCGGCUUAAGUGCCAUAACGAGCGCAACCCUUAUCUUUAGUUACUAACAGGUUAUGCUGAGGACUCUAGAGAGACUGCCGUCGUAAGAUGUGAGGAAGGUGGGGAUGACGUCAAAUCAGCACGGCCCUUACGUCCGGGGCUACACACGUGUUACAAUGGGGGGUACAGAAGGCAGCUACCUGGUGACAGGAUGCUAAUCCCAAAAACCUCUCUCAGUUCGGAUCGAAGUCUGCAACCCGACUUCGUGAAGCUGGAUUCGCUAGUAAUCGCGCAUCAGCCAUGGCGCGGUGAAUACGUUCCC
This 1017-nucleotide ribosomal RNA is filed under the name uncultured bacterium. RNAcentral's name for it is "bacterial SSU rRNA". It matches the Rfam family "Bacterial small subunit ribosomal RNA", at positions 355 to 1375 of the family's 1533-position model. The record is from RNAcentral.